This 493-nucleotide ribosomal RNA is filed under the name uncultured bacterium. Its description in RNAcentral is "partial 16S ribosomal RNA". It matches the Rfam family "Bacterial small subunit ribosomal RNA", at positions 29 to 507 of the family's 1533-position model. The record is from RNAcentral.
AGUGAACGCUGGCGGUAGGCCUAACACAUGCAAGUCGAACGGCAGCACAGUAAGAGCUUGCUCUUACGGGUGGCGAGUGGCGGACGGGUGAGGAAUACAUCGGAAUCUACUUUUUCGUGGGGGAUAACGUAGGGAAACUUACGCUAAUACCGCAUACGACCUACGGGUGAAAGCAGGGGAUCUUCGGACCUUGCGCGAUUGAAUGAGCCGAUGUCGGAUUAGCUAGUUGGCGGAGUAAAGGCCCACCAAGGCGACGAUCCGUAGCUGGUCUGAGAGGAUGAUCAGCCACACUGGAACUGAGACACGGUCCAGACUCCUACGGGAGGCAGCAGUGGGGAAUAUUGGACAAUGGGCGCAAGCCUGAUCCAGCCAUACCGCGUGGGUGAAGAAGGCCUUCGGGUUGUAAAGCCCUUUUUGUUGGGAAAGAAAAGCAGCAGGUUAAUACCCCGCUGUUCUGACGGUACCCAAAGAAUAAGCACCGGCUAACUUCGUG